GCCGAUCAAAGAUCACGAUGCUAGAGUCGCUCGAGGCUAGCGAAGAGCUUGAGGCCGCCACAAAGGCCGCCGCUAUGAUUGCCCGAGUGUGGCGAGCAAAGGUGGCUCGCAAAAAAGUGGCAGGGCUCAGGCUGGAAAAGAAGCAAGCGAAGGAAGCUGCGGC
Molecule: non-coding RNA, 163 nt
Filed under: Ochromonas sp. CCMP1393
Lineage: Eukaryota; Chrysophyceae; Chromulinales; Chromulinaceae
Source: RNAcentral